UACGAGGGGGGCGAGCGUUGUCCGGAAUCAUUGGGCGUAAAGAGCGUGUAGGCGGCCCGGUAAGUCCGCUGUGAAAGUCCAGGGCUCAACCCUGGGAUGCCGGUGGAUACUGUCGGGCUCGAGUCCGGAAGAGGAGUGUGGAAUUCCUGGUGUAGCGGUGAAAUGCGCAGAUAUCAGGAGGAACACCAAUGGCGAAGGCAGCACUCUGGGACGUGACUGACGCUGAGACGCGAAAGCGUGGGGAGCAAACAGG
RNAcentral lists this ribosomal RNA (253 nucleotides) under uncultured bacterium. RNAcentral's name for it is "partial 16S ribosomal RNA". It matches the Rfam family "Bacterial small subunit ribosomal RNA", at positions 524 to 776 of the family's 1533-position model. The record is from RNAcentral.